Molecule: ribosomal RNA, 711 nt
Filed under: Triticum aestivum (bread wheat)
Lineage: Eukaryota; Viridiplantae; Streptophyta; Magnoliopsida; Poales; Poaceae
Description: partial small subunit ribosomal RNA
Source: RNAcentral
AUGGCUCGCAAGAAGGUGACCCUGCAGUACAUCGCCAAGGACUCCGCCCGGCGCACUAGGUUCAGGAAUCGUCUCGGGAGCCUGAUGAAAAAGGCGACCGAGCUGGGCACCAUGUGCGAUGUCAAGACCUGCCUGGUGGUGUACGGCGAGAGCGAGGCGGAGCCUCAGGUGUUCCCUUCCCACGCCGAGGCGGUGGAUAUCCUGAAUGAAUUCAAGAGCAUGCCGGAGCUGGGGCAUUGCAAGAAGACGCUGGACCAGGAGGCAUUCCUCACCCAGCGCAUCACCAAGCUCCGGGACCAGGUCGACAAGGCUCGCCGCGAGUGCCAGGACAGCGAGAUCAGGUACCUCCUUUACAACAUCAUGCACGGCAACCACCCAGGCCUCGUUGACCUCAGCUCUGAGGAGCUCGCCCGCAUUGGCUGGAAGGUGGACGAGCUCCUCAAGAGCCUGGGCGAACGCAUGGCAAAAAACCAUGUCCAGGCGCCACCGCCAGCUCCAUGCGUCAGCAGCGACAACAUCGACAUGGGGUCUCUGCCGCUGUAUCUGGCGUCACCGCAGGAGGAGGAAGGCUGGCUUGACAUGGUGAGCUCCGGUGGGGACGUCGGCACCCAGGUCUGCGGUGGCAAUGCCAGCCACAACGGCGGUGAUAUGAUGUUGGAGACGCAAUUCUCCGAUCUGGGGUUCAGUUCGAGUCCUUUCCCUCCCAUGUAA